RNAcentral lists this ribosomal RNA (938 nucleotides) under Bradyrhizobium elkanii. RNAcentral describes it as "bacterial SSU rRNA". It matches the Rfam family "Bacterial small subunit ribosomal RNA", at positions 67 to 1046 of the family's 1533-position model. Lineage: Bacteria; Pseudomonadati; Pseudomonadota; Alphaproteobacteria; Hyphomicrobiales; Nitrobacteraceae. The record is from RNAcentral.
CGGGCAUAGCAAUAUGUCAGCGGCAGACGGGUGAGUAACGCGUGGGAACGUACCUUUUGGUUCGGAACAACUGAGGGAAACUUCAGCUAAUACCGGAUAAGCCCUUACGGGGAAAGAUUUAUCGCCGAAAGAUCGGCCCGCGUCUGAUUAGCUAGUUGGUGAGGUAAUGGCUCACCAAGGCGACGAUCAGUAGCUGGUCUGAGAGGAUGAUCAGCCACAUUGGGACUGAGACACGGCCCAAACUCCUACGGGAGGCAGCAGUGGGGAAUAUUGGACAAUGGGCGCAAGCCUGAUCCAGCCAUGCCGCGUGAGUGAUGAAGGCCCUAGGGUUGUAAAGCUCUUUUGUGCGGGAAGAUAAUGACGGUACCGCAAGAAUAAGCCCCGGCUAACUUCGUGCCAGCAGCCGCGGUAAUACGAAGGGGGCUAGCGUUGCUCGGAAUCACUGGGCGUAAAGGGUGCGUAGGCGGGUCUUUAAGUCAGGGGUGAAAUCCUGGAGCUCAACUCCAGAACUGCCUUUGAUACUGAAGAUCUUGAGUUCGGGAGAGGUGAGUGGAACUGCGAGUGUAGAGGUGAAAUUCGUAGAUAUUCGCAAGAACACCAGUGGCGAAGGCGGCUCACUGGCCCGAUACUGACGCUGAGGCACGAAAGCGUGGGGAGCAAACAGGAUUAGAUACCCUGGUAGUCCACGCUGUAAACGAUGAAUGCCAGCCGUUAGUGGGUUUACUCACUAGUGGCGCAGCUAACGCUUUAAGCAUUCCGCCUGGGGAGUACGGUCGCAAGAUUAAAACUCAAAGGAAUUGACGGGGGCCCGCACAAGCGGUGGAGCAUGGGGUUUAAUUCGACGCAACGCGCAGAACCUUACCAGCCCUUGACAUCCCGGUCGCGGACUCCAGAGACGGAGUUCUUCAGUUCGGCUGGACCGGAGACAGGGGCUGCAU